This 396-nucleotide ribosomal RNA is filed under the name uncultured bacterium. RNAcentral's name for it is "bacterial SSU rRNA". It matches the Rfam family "Bacterial small subunit ribosomal RNA", at positions 28 to 429 of the family's 1533-position model. The record is from RNAcentral.
GACGAACGCUGGCGGCGUGCUUAACACAUGCAAGUCGAGCGGUAAGGCCCUUUCGGGGGUACACGAGCGGCGAACGGGUGAGUAACACGUGGGUGACCUGCCCUCAGCUCUGGGAUAAGCCUGGGAAACUGGGUCUAAUACUGGAUAUGACUCCACGGUGCAUGUCGUGGGGUGGAAAGCCUUGUGCGGCUGAGGAUGGGCCCGCGGCCUAUCAGCUUGUUGGUGGGGNGAUGGCCUACCAAGGCGACGACGGGUAGCCGGCCUGAGAGGGCGACCGGCCACACUGGGACUGAGACACGGCCCAGACUCCUACGGGAGGCAGCAGUGGGGAAUCUUGCGCAAUGGGCGAAAGCCUGACGCAGCGACGCCGCGUGAGGGAUGACGGCCUGGUGUAAG